This is a long non-coding RNA of Argiope bruennichi, 1439 nucleotides long. RefSeq lists it as uncharacterized. NCBI's taxonomy places the organism in Eukaryota, Metazoa, Arthropoda, Arachnida, Araneae, Araneidae. The transcript has 7 exons. The record is from RefSeq and is a predicted model, not a curated record.
UAUGUGCAAACAAAAUAUCAAAGGUUCAAAAGUCAAACUUAGAAAAAAAUAAACAAUACCAUGUUUGCAUUCCCAGAGUUCAACGCGAGGGAAAAUGGCUGACAAUGACGUCAGAACAGUGCCGAGGAGCAUAGCUGAAAUCUUUCCCCGCAAACACUACUGUUCUUGGCGUAGAAGGAGACGCAUUGAAGUACGAUUUUACCAUUUUUCGCAUGUAGAGGAUAACAGCCUUUUACGCGAUAUCCCUCACUGUUUAUGUUCAAAUUUCAUCACACUCAUCUUUUGACAGAAAAGGGAGAUUGUGAAAAAAAACAUUGAUUGAUGCAAAAAAAAAAAAAAAAAAGUUGUAUGAUACAAUGUGCAGAAUGUCUCUCAAGCUGAAACUGAGCAUGAUUACUUCCAUCAGAGAAAAGACAGUUUUACAGUCAGCUCUAUUGGAUGCUGGAUCAGUGAUCCCCGGGCUUGGCGGCAAAAUGGAUGAUACUGGAAUAUUCAGGAAUUUUGGCGAUAGGAUCACUAAGAGGCGAGCUACACUGGAUUGUUCGUUAACUUUUGUGCCCUGUUCUGGAAGCUAUAAAAGGGCGGCACUCCAAGCGGAAGUUAGUUGUAAGUUAGUCAGCAACGAAUUAGUUGGAUCAGUUCAGCGAAGCGCAAGUGCCAGAGUGUAGCUCAAGUGAUUGGUGGAUUGAGCCAUGCACCAAGACUUGGAGACAAAUAUUGAAGCAGCAUCGAGUUGUCUAUGGAGAAGUGAGUCGGCAAUUGGGUACAACUAAAGCGAGGAGACAGUGGAGAAUAGCAGAUGUUUGGAGAGACCUUUUUAACAGAGGAUCCAGCUCAGUUUACAGUAAAAUUGCCUGAAUUAUCACAAAAAGGUGUGCAAAGAGAAGUUUGUUUCUUGCGUAAAGUCCCUUGGAACAUUUAAUCAGUCAGAUCAGAAAUCAAGAUUAGAGAUGUUUUUUUUUUUAAAUUUUAUUUUGAUGCCUACAAAAGAAAGCUCUAAAGAUAUUAAAAAUUUAGUAUAUAGAACACAUCUACUUCUAUAGAAAAGGAGAAAUCAUCAUUUCAUAUGAGAAAAGUAAGGCUGAACAGUCGGAUUUAAUAUUCUUAUCCAUGAAUGUUUUGAUGCAAAAAGCUGAAAAACUGCAGUGAGAGAGAGAAAAUGUUGAAAAAAUGCCAAAUAGGAAGUUUAAUGUUCUUAAACUUUGAUACUGGAGAAAUGUUUGAAUCAAUGACUUGCCAGAUAAUUAUUCAUUUUUACUUUAACAAAGACUUUUGUAAAGUGGCUUGAAAAUAUUAAAAAUAUAUGUAAAUUUUUAGUAGAAUAAAAUGCCAAUGCUUCUGAAAAUAAAACAUACUUUUUUUUCCCUGAACCAUUUUCAUAAAAGGUUACAAAUAUUUUGUUUGUUUGUAUUAAUAAGGUUUCAGAAUAAUAUUGUAUC